This 275-nucleotide ribosomal RNA is filed under the name uncultured bacterium. RNAcentral's name for it is "partial 16S ribosomal RNA". It matches the Rfam family "Bacterial small subunit ribosomal RNA", at positions 338 to 610 of the family's 1533-position model. The record is from RNAcentral.
CCUACGGGUGGCUGCAGUGAGGAAUAUUGGACAAUGGGUGCAAGCCUGAUCCAGCCAUCCCGCGUGAAGGAUUAAGGACCUAUGGUUUGUAAACUUCUUUUGUACAGGGAUAAACCUAUCUACGUGUAGAUAGCUGAAGGUACUGUACGAAUAAGCACCGGCUAACUCCGUGCCAGCAGCCGCGGUAAUACGGAGGGUGCAAGCGUUAUCCGGAUUUAUUGGGUUUAAAGGGUCCGUAGGCGGAUCUAUAAGUCAGUGGUGAAAGCCGACAGCUU